This 66-nucleotide transfer RNA is filed under the name Upogebia pusilla (Mediterranean mud shrimp). Its description in RNAcentral is "tRNA-Phe". Lineage: Eukaryota; Metazoa; Arthropoda; Malacostraca; Decapoda; Upogebiidae. The record is from RNAcentral.
AUUCUUAUAAUUUAAGUCGAAGAAUAUUGCAUUGAAGCUGCAAAAGUGGCCUGUGGCCUGUGAAUA